GGGCGCGUCCCCUCUGCACUGGGCCGGCUGCUCCUCCCUCUGCUCUCUGGCCUUCGGGCUUCCUGGUUCCUGGCCUGCCAUGCCAGCUGGUGCAGCUCCACUUCCUUCACCACACAGGAGCCACUUCGUAAUACACACACACCUGUUGGCCUUGGACCCUGGCACAGCCCUGACUCAGGUCCACCUCCCCCGACAGCCAUGCAAACUUCCUGGUACACCUGUGCCUCAUGGUGCACACCUUCCCUCACGGUGGCUGGCCCUGCAUCUUCCAGGGUUUGUUUCUUUGUUUGUUUUUAUGAGACAGGAUCUCACUAUGUAGCUCAGGCUGACCUUGAACUCACAGUGAUCCUCCUGCCUCAGCUUCCUGAGUGAGGCUACGGGCCUGGGCCACCUCACUCGGCUUCCAGGGCACACUUUUGUGUUGCUUUUUCCUUUUUCACUCGGCCCAAGCUUGUUGUGCAGAGCCAGUUUCUCCCUCACUCCUCACUUUUACUUUCUCUAGUAAAUGUGGCCACGGCAUUUUCAGUUCCUUGUUCGAGAUGAGAAGAGCCUGGACUCUAACUACAGAGGGAGAGGCGAGCGGCCCAGAACCCGGCAGCAUACAGCUGGCGAGCCACUUUUAGAAGCCUACCCGGACAGAAAAGAUCUAGAAGCCACCUCUAGAAGGAGUCUCCAGAAUCCAAGAACCUGUACCCUGAACUGGAAGUGAGCAGCACCAGUGCUCCUAAGCAGCCUCACACAGAGUUGAACUGGAUCACCAAGGUCAUAGACGACUGGGCGACUGCCACCGGGUCUGUGGGUAAAAUAGGUCACAGCCUCCGGGGGGAUCACCGUUAACCGCGGCCCCCCACCAGGGCAUGUACCUAUAGUCCCAGCUACUCGGGAGGCCGAGCCAGGAGGACUGCAAGUUCGAGGCCAGCCUGGGCAACUUAGUGAGACACUCCCCCUAUCUCAAAG
Long non-coding RNA from Heterocephalus glaber (naked mole-rat), 957 nucleotides. The record is from Ensembl. Lineage: Eukaryota; Metazoa; Chordata; Mammalia; Rodentia; Bathyergidae.